GCUUAGAGUUUGAUCCUGGCUCAGGACGAACGCUGGCGGCAGGCCUAACACAUGCAAGUCGAGCGAACUCUUCGGAGUGAGCGGCAGACGGGUGAGUAACGCGUGGGAACCUACCCAAGGGUACGGAAUAACUCGGGGAAACUCGGGCUAAUACCGUAUGUGUCCUUCGGGAGAAAGAUUUAUCGCCCUUGGAUGGGCCCGCGUUGGAUUAGCUAGUUGGUGGGGUAACGGCUCACCAAGGCGACGAUCCAUAGCUGUUCUGAGAGGAAGAUCAGCCACACUGGGACUGAGACACGGCCCAGACUCCUACGGGAGGCAGCAGUGGGGAAUCUUGGACAAUGGGCGAAAGCCUGAUCCAGCCAUGCCGCGUGAGUGAUGAAGGCCCUAGGGUUGUAAAGCUCUUUCACCUGCGAGGAUAAUGACGGUAGCAGGAGAAGAAGCCCCGGCUAACUUCGUGCCAGCAGCCGCGGUAAUACGAAGGGGGCUAGCGUUGUUCGGAAUUACUGGGCGUAAAGCGCGCGUAGGCGGAUCGUUAAGUCAGAGGUGAAAGCCCAGAGCUCAACUCUGGAACUGCCUUUGAUACUGGCGAUCUUGAGACCGGGAGAGGAGAGUGGAAUUCCCAGUGUAGAGGUGAAAUUCGUAGAUAUUGGGAAGAACACCCGUGGCGAAGGCGGCUCUCUGGCCCGGUUCUGACGCUGAGGUGCGAAAGCGCGGGGAGCAAACAGGAUUAGAUACCCUGGUAGUCCACGCCGUAAACGAU
Molecule: ribosomal RNA, 760 nt
Filed under: uncultured bacterium
Lineage: Bacteria
Description: bacterial SSU rRNA
Rfam family: Bacterial small subunit ribosomal RNA
Source: RNAcentral